RNAcentral lists this ribosomal RNA (440 nucleotides) under uncultured bacterium. RNAcentral describes it as "partial 16S ribosomal RNA". It matches the Rfam family "Bacterial small subunit ribosomal RNA", at positions 338 to 795 of the family's 1533-position model. The record is from RNAcentral.
CCUACGUGAGGCAGCAGUGGGGAAUAUUGCACAAUGGGGGAAACCCUGAUGCAGCGACGCCGCGUGAGUGAAGAAGUAUUUCGGUAUGUAAAGCUCUAUCAUCAGGGAAGAAAAUGACGGUACCUGAUUAAGAAGCCCCGGCUAACUACGUGCCAGCAGCCGCGGUAAUACGUAGGGGGCAAGCGUUAGCCGGAUGUACUGGGUGUACAGUGAGCGUAGACGGCAGCACAAGGCUGGAGUGAAAUGCCGGGGCUUAACCCCGGAACUGCUUUGGAAACUGUGCAGCUAGAGUGCAGGAGAGGUAAGUGGAAUUCAUAGUGUAGCGGUGAAAUGCGUAGAUAUUAGGAGGAACACCAGUGGCGAAGGCGGCUUACUGGACUGUAACUGACGUUGAGGCUCGAAAGCGUGGGGAGCAAACAGGAUUAGAUACCCGAGUAGUC